This 497-nucleotide ribosomal RNA is filed under the name uncultured bacterium. RNAcentral describes it as "partial 16S ribosomal RNA". It matches the Rfam family "Bacterial small subunit ribosomal RNA", at positions 28 to 507 of the family's 1533-position model. The record is from RNAcentral.
GAUGAACGCUGGCGGCGUGCCUAAUACAUGCAAGUCGAGCGAACAGAUAAGGAGCUUGCUCCUUUGACGUUAGCGGCGGACGGGUGAGUAACACGUGGGUAACCUACCUAUAAGACUGGGAUAACUUCGGGAAACCGGAGCUAAUACCGGAUAACAUUUGGAACCGCAUGGUUCUAAAGUGAAAGAUGGUUUUGCUAUCACUUAUAGAUGGACCCGCGCCGUAUUAGCUAGUUGGUAAGGUAACGGCUUACCAAGGCGACGAUACGUAGCCGACCUGAGAGGGUGAUCGGCCACACUAGUACUGAGACACGGUCCAGACUCCUACGGGAGGCAGCAGUAGGGAAUCUUCCGCAAUGGGCGAAAGCCUGACGGAGCAACGCCGCGUGAGUGAUGAAGGGUUUCGGCUCGUAAAACUCUGUUAUUAGGGAAGAACAAAUGUGUAAGUAACUGUGCACGUCUUGACGGUACCUAAUCAGAAAGCCACGGCUAACUACGUG